This 428-nucleotide ribosomal RNA is filed under the name uncultured bacterium. RNAcentral's name for it is "bacterial SSU rRNA". It matches the Rfam family "Bacterial small subunit ribosomal RNA", at positions 355 to 776 of the family's 1533-position model. The record is from RNAcentral.
UGGGGAAUUUUGCGCAAUGGGCGAAAGCCUGACGCAGCGACGCCGCGUGGGUGAUGAAGGCCUUCGGGUUGUAAAGCCCUGUGGGGAGGGAAGAAUAAGGGGCAGUUAAUAGCUGUUCUGAUGACGGUACCUCCUUAGCAAGCACCGGCUAACUCUGUGCCAGCAGCCGCGGUAAGACAGAGGGUGCAAACGUUGUUCGGAAUUACUGGGCGUAAAGCGCGUGUAGGCGGCUUUGCAAGUCGGGUGUGAAAGCCCUUGGCUCAACUGAGGAAGUGCACUCGAAACUGCAGAGCUUGAGGUCUGGAGAGGAUGGUGGAAUUCUCGGUGUAGAGGUGAAAUUCGUAGAUAUCGAGAGGAACACCGGUGGCGAAGGCGGCCAUCUGGACAGAUUCUGACGCUGAGACGCGAAAGCGUGGGUAGCAAACAGG